RNAcentral lists this ribosomal RNA (253 nucleotides) under uncultured bacterium. Its description in RNAcentral is "partial 16S ribosomal RNA". It matches the Rfam family "Bacterial small subunit ribosomal RNA", at positions 524 to 776 of the family's 1533-position model. The record is from RNAcentral.
UACGGAGGAUCCAAGCGUUAUCCGGAAUCAUUGGGUUUAAAGGGUUCGUAGGCGGUUUUGUAAGUCAGUGGUGAAAGCCCAUGGCUCAACGGUGGAACGGCCAUUGAUACUGCAAGACUUGAAUUAUUGGGAAGUAACUAGAAUAUGUAGUGUAGCGGUGAAAUGCUUAGAGAUUACAUGGAAUACCAAUUGCGAAGGCAGGUUACUGCCAAUAUAUUGACGCUGAUGGACGAAAGCGUGGGGAGCGAACAGG